Molecule: ribosomal RNA, 474 nt
Filed under: Achromobacter xylosoxidans
Lineage: Bacteria; Pseudomonadati; Pseudomonadota; Betaproteobacteria; Burkholderiales; Alcaligenaceae
Description: bacterial SSU rRNA
Rfam family: Bacterial small subunit ribosomal RNA
Source: RNAcentral
GUCCACGCCCUAAACGAUGUCAACUAGCUGUUGGGGCCUUCGGGCCUUGGUAGCGCAGCUAACGCGUGAAGUUGACCGCCUGGGGAGUACGGUCGCAAGAUUAAAACUCAAAGGAAUUGACGGGGACCCGCACAAGCGGUGGAUGAUGUGGAUUAAUUCGAUGCAACGCGAAAAACCUUACCUACCCUUGACAUGUCUGGAAUGCCGAAGAGAUUUGGCAGUGCUCGCAAGAGAACCGGAACACAGGUGCUGCAUGGCUGUCGUCAGCUCGUGUCGUGAGAUGUUGGGUUAAGUCCCGCAACGAGCGCAACCCUUGUCAUUAGUUGCUACGAAAGGGCACUCUAAUGAGACUGCCGGUGACAAACCGGAGGAAGGUGGGGAUGACGUCAAGUCCUCAUGGCCCUUAUGGGUAGGGCUUCACACGUCAUACAAUGGUCGGGACAGAGGGUCGCCAACCCGCGAGGGGGAGCCAAU